AAGAGUCUCCUGCCUGUUAUACUUGAGGUCCUUGCCUGCUCGCGGUCCAUCUGGUAGGCGUUGGCGAGGACCACGUCGGGGAGUGAUCGCAAGACGGAGGUCCUGCCAGCUAGAGUGUUGACCAUGGCAUUGUCAUUGGUCUUGAAGGCAAUGUACUCGUACCCGUUGCUCUGGGCUUUUUGCAACACGGCGUGGUUUUGCGGCACGAUGAAGAGUUGUCCCUGGCGGACCUGGUCGUCCAAGAUGGUCUCACCGUUGUCGUUCACCACCUGAACCCUGGCGCUACCUCUGAUGACAUAGAUGAUCUCAUGAGCAUUCAAGUUCCAGCGGGGGCUGUGGAUAGCAUUCUGCAUGUACCAUUACCAGAUAAAUUUCAGGAUUAAUUGAUCAAUAGGUAACUAAAUUUAAUUAUUAGAAACAUACAUGCUAGAAUACUCACGUUGUAGAAGAAACCUCUCUCAGCGCUGAGACGGAGGUGCCUGAGAAUAGGCAUGCUGAAGCUGUUGAGGGUGCUGAUGCGACCGGCUUGUGGGCUGAAGACGUCAGCCAUGGAAGGCUUGCCGAUGUUCUGCUUGAUCUGCAUGUGGCAGAAUACCUCCUCAAAGCCAUUCUGGCGGCCCUGUUGUCCUUGCAGUUGUCUUUCCUCCCUCUGUGACUCUGGUGGCUCGACAAAGUCGAAACGUCCCUCAACCCUAACAAUUUGUGGCCUGUUGUCAUUCUGUCCCUGGAGCUGCUGGACAGUCUGUUGGUCAAUGUUGAGAGCAUCGGCGAGGAGCUGGGUGUCGAAGCCGGCAAAGACAUUGUUGUUGUUGUUACCCUGCUGUUGGCGCCUGCUCCUUCCUUGUUGUCGGCCUUGCUGUCCCCGUUGGCUUUGGCCUUGUUGUCCUUGUUUCCACCAUUGGCUUUGGCCUUGUUGGUUGAACUCAUCUUGCAUGCGGGUUACCAGCAAGAUAGAAUCGCUACAAAUAGAGAUCAAGCAGCAAGCAUUGAGUGAGUUAACAAUGUAAAAUAAGUUGUUAACUUCAUGUUUAGAGUAAAAUUGUCAGUAAAAAGGUGUACCCUCUUGGGUUUUGGUCAAGCUGGUUGUGGUUGUUGCCGAUGUCUAGAAGAGUAACAAAAACAAGAGAUUGAUCACCAUCGUUGUGAGUCCAGGUUGUGGCUCCGGCGGGGAUUGCGAUAACAUCACCUUCCUUGAUGCGUCGCACCCUCUGGUGUCGGUCUAGCUGUUCAAACUCUUGUUGGCCUUGCUCUCCGAAUUGCCCUUGUCGACGUCCGUGUCGCUGGCGGUGGCCUCCGCCUUGUUGGCCUUGCCAUUGUUGUUGCUGUUGUUCUUCAACAGAUUGCUCAGACUCCUCAAAUGUCUCCGGACAGCCAGGGAAUACCAUCCCUAGAUGACCCCUACCUACAGUAGUGUCCAAAAAUAGCAAGCUAAACACAUGCUUAAACACCACUAGGUGCAAUUUACUGAAUAAUAAAUAACGGACUGUUUUGCACUUUACCUUGUACAACGUAAACAAGCCUUGGUGUGUUAGUGUAGGAAGGCAAGUGAAGGCCAUUACGCUCAAUGGUGAUUCUUUGAACAGCAACACCAGCGCACUAGAAGUCAUCCUGGUUGUGAUCCCAAGACUCGAUGCGACCUGCUUCAGUCUCAAUACGGUUGUCAGGCUCGCGGGCUUGGAUCUGGUUCAGCAUGCACACAUUUUGCUGGCUGAACUGAGAUUGUUGCCGACUGGCUAAGCAGCCUUGGAAGAGAACGAGCAAGCAAAGAGAAAAGGCAAGAGCUAAAGGCUUGGCCACCAUUGUAACAAUCAGUGGUAGAUAGCUAGCUGUGGGUUGUGGUGAAGCGGCGAGUAGAUGGCGUCGGUAUUUAGAGGAGAGAGGAGGAGGCGAGGAGGAGAAAAAUACAAGGGAUGAGAUUCUCUUUGCAUGCUAUUAGUAUCUCAAAUUCAUACACCUCAUCUUUAUACCUGGGCAGGUGGCUAUUGGCUUCAGAGGAUAUAUAUACAAAGUGCCGAGAACAAUGUGGCAAACAGGUGGGGGGUGGUCAUGAUUGUCUGCAAGUAAAGCAAAUUGUACUGCCUUGAACCUGGUCAAGUUCAUGAAAAAGUUCAUUCAAGAUAUCAGGUCUAAUCUGUUUCAUGUUUGGUAAAGUAAAUAGAGUAGCAACCUGGACCAUAUAUAAUCUACACAGGUGAGAUAAAAAAACCUUAAUUUACCAUCAUGCAAUAGCCAGAAUCCAUCUUCAAUCCUCUAUGAUUCUAUUAAGACUUAAAGCACAUUUACCCUCUUCAAGAAUUCACAUUCCAGCACUCUUCUAAAUGACUCUACUUGAUGAAAUUCAAAGUACCUCUCGCUAUAUUCUGGGAAUUACUGUGAUCAUCAGAGCAAUUACCUCACCUAUUAACUCAUAGUAUGCUUGAGCUAAUGUGAGAUCAUUCCUUAUAUAAAUGAGAAUGCAAUGCCUAACAUAAGUUUUAUGUGUAUAAUACAAUCAUAAGAGACUCACUGAUUACAAUUAUAUGAAAUAUAUGAAACAAAAGCACAGAAAAUAGACUUCUGGAAAAAGAACAUAUUUCUACAAGUGAAGGCUUAUUAUUUACACUAGUCUCACUGAUUUCCAUUUGGCUCUUCUGACCAAAUAGACUUCUGUAAAAAGUACAACAUUUGAGCCCAUGAUCACCCUCUACUUGGAAAUACCAUUGAUUCUAAAACAUAGUCCUUACAGUAUUUGUGGGAACUAGAUUAUUGGGUCAGUUUAGCUAAGAUUAAACUGUUAACAAAACCAAGCUUUAGAACCCAAUUUAGCAAAAUGAACAUACAAUAGUGUCACACCCCGGACCGUGGUUUCCAAGCACCAGACGCCGAACCCGAGGCGUGAGCGGGAAAAAUAAAAGAAAAUAAAAUAAUUUCAAAUACUUUUCCAGAAAUUGUUAAAAAAAAAGAAAAUAAAAUGUUUUACAAUAACAAAACAAUUACAAAGACAAUAAGAUGAGCCCUUGCGAUCUAGCUCAUUUUUAAUCUUUCGUAACUCUUUUCUACUCUUGUACACGUCUCCUAAACUUCAUAGUCUCGAAAUACGUUCCUCGUACGUACCUGAACAAAAGUCUAUAGGGAUGAGCUUACGCUCAGUAGGGCCAAACCUUUUUAGGUUAUACUUAACUAGGUUGCACAAACAAGUUAUCAAGCAAUGUCAAACAAUACUUUAAAUAAAUAACGGCAAUUCGAUGCAUGUAUGCUAAUGAAUGUCUUCCUCAAUUACUAGCUAUCAGUCCAUACAUCAAAGAUAAGUGAGCCUACACGUCUCAUACCGUGUAUUUUACCAACCGGGGAUAACUCAAAUGUCUCGAAUAUAUGAUCUAACAAUCAAUAAAAUCUCACCACCUGUACCUCUUUUGUUAGUCAUCUUGUUAUAUUCAUGGUCUCCAAACCUGAAACCCGAAGAUCGUUUUAUCGAUGUCCGCCAUCGAAGGGGCAUAUAUACUUUCCCCACUCAUUUGCGCAUGUGGGCUGGCAUGGAUUCAUGGACAACCCAUGAGAAAACUCAACUACACAAAAUGUAUAUAUUCUCUAAAUCUCAUUCUCCUCUCCAUAAUCAUCAUUCUCACCAUUCUCACAAUUCCUCACAAUGUUUUACACACUACAAGGACAAACACUUUAGCCGACGAAAAAGUUUCGUCGGCCUGUUAGCUUAAUUUGUCGGCUAAGAUUUCGUCGGGAAAAGGUCGUCGGCGAUGACUUUAGCCGACGAAAAAAGAAGACGUCGUCGGCUAUAGUCCCACAAUUUAGCCGACAAAAAACAUGUCGUCGGUUUUUUUCCCAGACUUUAGCCGACGAAACAAUAAGAUAUUCGUCGGCUAAAGUGUGUAAUAAAAAAUUAAAAAAAUAAUUAUAGCCUACCAAAUAUAGUCUGUUUCGUCGGCUAAACCUUAUAAAAAAAUUAAAAAAAUAACUAUAGCCGACGAAAUAUAGUAUGUUUCGUCGGCUAAACCUUAUAAAAAAAUUAAAAAAUAAAUAUAGCCGACGAAUAUAGUAUUUAAAUAUCGUCAGCUAAAGUUGCUGGUUUUUGAAAAAAAAAACUGCAGAAACUUUCGGCCAACUCCAAUCACCACCAAAAUUUGAUAGAAUCUUCCUCUCAACAUUUCAAACAACUUUCUAGAAGAAGUCGAAUCCCAAUUCUAAACCUAAACAGGUCAAUUGAAUCAAAAUAUAAAAAUCCCCAAUUUUAAACCCUAAAAACUUCAAAUCUUUGAUUCUCCUCACACACACCGAAUCGAGCUACCAAAUUCUAGGGGAAUGUAGUACUAAUCAAACUCAACUUAUCCAUAUAUAGAACUCACCAAAUGGUGACCUGAGGAAUGAGAAAUUCGAUCGACACCGAAUCCAAACCGGCGGAGUUUUGGAGCUCGAUUUAUCCCUCACGGCGGCGCCACUCGAUGCACCACCUAUCCAGCAAUGAAGUAGAGACAACGACGAAGCUUUUGGGACAAGUGUGGCGGUCUCCAGUUGCUUGACGGCAGAGCUAGGCCGAGAAGAAAAUCCGGAACUUUUUCUGAUUUUCUGACUUCUUACCAUCCACCUCUGGUAAAACUCCUAUAUAAAGAACUUUACCCGACGAAAUUCUUUAUUUUCGUCAGCUAAACUCUUUUGAAAAUUUUUGUUGACCGCCAAAAAAUUUGGUUGAAAAUUUUAAAAAUUUUUCGACUUUAGCCGACGACUUUUCAUAUAUUUUCGUCGGCUAAAGUCCUUUGAAAAUUUUCCUCCAAAUUUGGUUUACCGCCAACAAAAUUUGACCUUAGCCGACGACUUUUUUAGUAUCUCGUCGGCUAAAGUCUAUAAAUUCACGAAAACGCUCAUAUCGAUCUCCCUCUAUAUUACGUAGUUUGGUCAAACAUUCCACACGAAAAACUUUCACAUAGAUGAGACGCAACCGCCUAUAUAAAAAUUUUGAGACAUUUACCUUCCGACGAUAGGGCUCCCCAUAGGGAAUAAUAACGGUAAAUAGGGUUAACCGCUACUAUCGGCACCGAGACGUUACCCAGUUUACGUGGAUUUUGAACCAUAGCCGUAAUUCAUCAUUCUGAACACAUCUUAUUUCACAAGAUUUUUGAUAAUUUUGCUUCCUAUGUUGUAUAACCUACUAAACAAGUUAUACAACAUUACUAGACACGUGAUUCCGAUGACUAAAAUUCACAAACCAAAAUUCGACCAUCAGAUAUGAUCAUUAUGACGAAAGAUGUCUAUAGUAAAAAAUUUAACUGGAUUCGACAACGUUAAGGGCUCGAUCGAAACGGUCAACUCUAAUCGGAAAUAAGAAAACUGCAUUUUGAAGCCCUAAACGGACUCGGAUGGCCAAAAAGGCCCAUAUGUGAUGGCAUAGCGAUGAGUUUGACUCGUAGGGCCGUUACGCUUCUAGAAAUGUAUCACAAUAGUCAAUCGGACGCCGAAUGCCAAAUCUGCAGCAUAAUUAAUACCGGGUUUCGACUGUUCUACAUCAGAGACGUUACCCGAUUUACGUGAUUUUUGAACCAUAGCCGUAUUUCACCGUUCUGAACACAUCUUAUUUCACGAGAUUUUUGUUAAUUUUGCUUCUAUGUAGAGUUGGUUCACAAAGUUGUGUAUUUGUUUAAAACCUACUAAGCAAGUUAUACAACAUUUUAUUGUUUUUCUUUUAGCCGACGACUUUUAUCGAUAAUAGCCGACGAGUAAAAAUAUUGGCCAACGAAGGAAAACUUUUUGGUCGACGAAAAAAAAAUUUCGUCGACUAAAGUAUCGUAUAGCCGAUGAAAAAAUUUCUUCAGCCGACGAAAAUUUAAAUUAGCCGACGAAAAAAUAAUUCGUCGGCCUGGUUUUUUUAUUUUCGUCGGCUAAAACCUUUCUUUUGGUAGUGACACAUGUCAAAUGAAUAUCAAUACACGUUAUAUUAUUUUAAACAACAUGUUUUUUACGGAAAACGAUAACAUCAAUCAUAUAUAUCAACAAAUACACAUGUUUUUAACAAAACAAUAACAACCAAGAGUUAUCACUCAAUGACAAACAAAACAUCCAUUUCAAUUAUAAUCUAAUUAUCAAUUUAAGAAAGGUUCCCCGAGAAAGACCCUACCUGGAAUCCAAAUGCUACUUCCGACGCUAGCUAAAAUUAGUAACUCUGCUGAAAUCCUUAUCCUGCUACUUCUGCAAUCCAGCUACUCGCAUUCGAUCCUCGUACCGAAUCCUCAUUCCAAGAAUAUUGACAGACCACUUCAAAUCAGCUUGAUCUAAUUCUGAAAUUUACUAAGGACACCCAAGUCCUUACUUCCGAUUCUUCGACAUUCACUACUUAAUUCUCUCAUAGUAUCCAAACUCACAAUUGUGCUCCAAAUACGAAAUCCAUCUCCAAACACCAACCCAACUUCAAAUAGAAGUUAAUAUUUUUAUCUAAAAUUACUCUCUACACCCAAAACUCCCAUUAUAAAUCUCAAUACAGCUUGAUCAUCCUUCCCUCUUCUCCUUUGCACCAUUUCACAAUAUCUUCCUUGUAGACCCAACAAGCAAACCUCCAGACUUGUUCAUGAUGAACAUGUUCAUAUACGAGCACUUCCAUUACAUAAAUUAAAAUCAUUCUUCUACUUCCACAACUCUCAAACAUUAGACCAAACAAUUGUAACAACCACUGUUCUAACACUCGAGCCACAAUCAGCCUUCCAAUCAUCCCCUUCUCUCUCUUUUGAACGUUCAAGAAGCAUCAACACCAAUUCAAGUUCCUGAGCAAAGCCAGCACCGCCAACAACGCCACCACACACGGCAGCCGACGACUGCCCCGAAAUCAUCAACUCCUCCAAUCUCAAAUUCAAUUACAACCAACCAUGAAAUUAUAUUUUAAAGCCUCUAUCAAUAUCAAAGAUAGCUAAUCCAAAACCCAAAACAUUAUCAACGCCGCCGUGCACAGCAGCCGCGCACGGUGGUCGACUGCCCAAAUUCCACCUUCUUCCAAACAUAACCAAAUAUGAAUUCCACUUAUAUAAACAGGUAGAGCUCGACGAGAAGAUCAAGUUUCAUACCUCACUUGUCAUCGACGGUGGCCUGAAAGUUUCGAACCCUCGCCGGAAAACUCCUUGAGCUUUAAUUAAUCGAUUCUCACUCAUGGAGGCUCCUCUUAAUAUACGAACAUCAUGGAAGGGUUUCUGACAUCGAGACGAAGCUUCAGCUAUCGAUGAGAGGCGUCGACGCUGCCGGAAUCGAAAGUUGACCCGCGAACCCAGCCUCUCUUUCUCCCCUUCGAUUCUCUUACCCGACCUCUUCUGAAGAAACUGAGGACAUAGGGAAGACCACGAGAACGAGAGGAAGCUACCAAUACCCGUCACACUCGCCGUCGUGGCCGAAAUCACGAACUCGACCGGAAACCCAGAAAUUCUUCUCCUCCUCGAUUCUCUCUCUCCUCAGCUUUCCAUGGAAAUCCAACAUCACAAUCGUGUUGGGGACGACUAGACGGAGCUUUUGACACCGGUCUUGCACCGGGAAAUAGCUGGACCACAGAGGAAGGAGCUGAGCUCCGUCGCUGCAGAGCAGCUCGAGACCGAGUCGGUCUAGGCUUGUACUGAUCCAGUCCAAACUAAUCCCCUGUAUAUACAUACCUAAAUCGAUGGCCUAGAUCUAGCGGCUUAAGAGAUCCAACAGUCUAGAUCAUGUCAGCAAUAAGUCUAUUUUUAAUUAAAUUUUUAGAUAAUACAAACUUCUAAAAAUCAUUAAAAAUAGCUCUGAUGUCCAAAAAUACUUCCGUAAAAUUCUACAAACUCAUAACGACGUCUAGGUUAAUCCUAUGGGCUCGAAAGACAAAAUCGACAAACUAAAAAUUUGAAUAAUUUUCAACAAGCCACAAAAAAUUAAAAGAAUAAUAGAAAUCGAAAUAAAAAUAGCUCGAAAAAUAAUUUUCCUUUUAAAAAUAGAAAACUGAAAUUCCAGGAUGUUACAAAUAACUUCAGGAUUUCAAUUACAUGCAAAAGACAAGAGUUAGCAAGUAACUAAACCUUGGAAUUUAGAAUUUAAAUUUCAAGCCAGUGGUUAUUGUUGAACCUGUUACGAAGGAAAUGAAGCUCAGUCGACUGUGUGAUCGUCCGGUGUGGUUCACCUGAGUACCGUCGCUUGAUACAUUGAUCGGUUCCAUCUUACUCCGCAUUCCUAAUUGCCCGCUUCUCACUGGUGGCUGUCGUUUUCGUUUCUUUCGAAUAUGAAUUUUGUGUUGGGCUUUCGCAACUGUUAUUUGGGCCUGUAUACAGUAGUAUUAUCUCUCUCUCUCUCNNNNNNNNNNNNNNNNNNNNUAUUAUCUCUCUCUCUCUCUCUCUCUCUCUCUCUCUCUCUCUCUCUCUCUCUUUUCAAUAACCUGUCUUUUCUUUUUUAUUUAGAGAAGAUUCUACAACUUUUUGUUUCAAGACAUCUUUAUUUAUUUAUUUAGAGAAGAUUAUUUAUGAGGCUAUGUCAAAGAGAGAGCUUCUGCGACUGGAGUAGUUGACAUACCAUAGUUGAACGAAGCUACAACCCAUGGAUGGUCGUUAAUUGUUGGUGCUAAUCACGAAUCCCUCAACUGCAGAGUUUCUCCUGACCGAUCUAUCAAAGUUGAUUUUAACCCUAUCCCACAACCACUAUCCGGUUGCUGAAGCUCUAGCUCUGCGCAAUAGCCUCGUGUAUGCUAAUUAAAGAGCGAGGCUUCUCCAAGAUUGAAGUUGAGGGCGAUUCUAAGUUGGUGAUUGACGCCGUGAAUGGAGUGUCGACCCCUCUGUGGAAGUUACUCAAACUAAUUCAUGAUAUCAAAGUCUUGAGUAAUUCCUUUGAGUUUGUAUGCUUUCAGCAUGUGUUUAGGGAAGCAAACUUUGUGGCUAAUGCUUUAGCCAAUCUUAGAUAUAGGCUGAGUAACCUACGCUGCUAGGAGAAGUGUGUUCCCCCGGAAGUGUCUUCUGCUCUUGCCUUUGACAUUGUAAACCUUGGGUGCAUUAGAGACACCUCCAUCUAAUAUAUUUUUUUUUNNNNNNNNNNNNNNNNNNNNNNNNNNNNNNNNNNNNNNNNNNNNNNNNNNNNNNNNNNNNNNNNNNNNNNNNNNNNNNNNNNNNNNNNNNNNNNNNNNNNNNNNNNNNNNNNNNNNNNNNNNNNNNNNNNNNNNNNNNNNNNNNNNNNNNNNNNNNNNNNNNNNNNNNNNNNNNNNNNNNNNNNNNNNNNNNNNNNNNNNNNNNNNNNNNNNNNNNNNNNNNNNNNNNNNNNNNNNNNNNNNNNNNNNNNNNNNNNNNNNNNNNNNNNNNNNNNNNNNNNNNNNNNNNNNNNNNNNNNNNNNNNNNNNNNNNNNNNNNNNNNNNNNNNNNNNNNNNNNNNNNNNNNNNNNNNNNNNNNNNNNNNNNNNNNNNNNNNNNNNNNNNNNNNNNNNNNNNNNNNNNNNNNNNNNNNNNNNNNNNNNNNNNNNNNNNNNNNNNNNNNNNNNNNNNNCACUCUCUCUCUCUCUCUCUCUCUCUCUCUCUCUCUCUCUCUCUCUCUCUCUCUCUCUCUCUCCACCGUUGAGCAGCAACGAUUCUGGCAACACCGGACGGCGAGACCGCCACUGAAGUGAUCCUCUCCUCCUCCUCAACUCAGCCCAGUCCUUUAAUUCGGAAGACAUCCACUUUUGGCGGAGAUCGAUGGAGGAGGACGGUGACUAUCCUUCAUUGUUUUCCGGCGAGGGCUCAGGCUCCGAUCACUGAUCCACCUAGCGACGGUGAGUCCCUUCCUCCUCUCUUCCUUCUGCACAGUCUAGUGCUUUAUUUCCUUCAAAUCGAGACCUAACUCAGAAAUCCCCUUGUGUUUCUGAGUUUCUUGAGCUUCUUUUCCUGCGAUUGUGUUCUUCGUGUUCUGGUGGCGACCACGAGCUCCGACGAGCGUAGUUCAUCCUUGGAGAUGCCGGGACUUAGAGUUGGGAAGCUUUGGGGCAGUUGCUGUUGUGCAGCAUCGUGGCAAAGGGACUGCUUAUUGAUUUCAAGCAAGGAGAGGUUGCUGGGUUUGAGUGGUGUACAGAUUGGAGGUAAGGAGUUUGAUUUGGUCGGCUGUGUUGUUGUUUGUGUUGCGGUUAUUGAGUUGGAUUGUGACUAAAAUCAUUGUUGUGGUUGAUACUUGUCGAUGUCAAUAACUUGGUGAUAGGAGUUUAUGAGGAGGCUAUGGCAAAAUUCCGGUAAGUCGUCGGAAUCUGGCAAGAGAUUUCGACGAGGGCAGAAUCAUGCAGAGACUAUUGAGGUAGUUAUCGAUGUUUUUCCCUGCUAUUGUGUAUCGUUUCAAUAAUAGGAAAGUUUGUAGGUUGUAAUCGGAAAUCUUUCUAAGUGAGGAAAGUUUCUAUUUUAGGAAACUUUCCCUUUUUGGGAAACUUUCUAUUUAUGGAAACCCAUUGUUGGGUGCCCUUAGUGAUUUAUGGGGUGAAGUUGUGUUGAGAGGAAGUAUAUGGGGAUUGUAUGGGUGAAGAAACAAUUGUAAUUGUGUUGUAAUUGAGGAUUUCUCGGAUGAAGAAAUUGGAUAAUCGAGGAAUGGAUUUAGUGAAAAGGUUUGUUCUUAUUUAAGAUCUAAUUGAUUUCAAGUGAAGCAAAUAAUUGAUUUAUUAAAAUGAUUGUUGGAUUUGAAUUGGAUGGUUAAGAGUAAUCAAGGUAACCCGAAUUUUCAAGUCGAAGGUUAGAGUGGAAAAUGUUGAAACUUCGUUACUUGGCCAACCCUAAUUUAAUUGGUCAAUUUUGGUCAACUCAGGAAAUCUAGCCAAACUAGGAAGAAUUUGAAUCCAUGAUUAUUAUGGUGUUUGGUCUGACCGAUUUAUUCUUCUAUUUAUCGUCAGACGUGGGAUUGGCUAGAGAAUGUGAAUAGUUUGAGGCAGCGCUCGAGGAGUAUUCCGAGCAUUGGAAGACUUAGGCCUAAUACGGUGAGUGGACUUUUGUUUUAAAUAAUAUGCAUGCAAAUGGUUUAUUGUUGAGCAAUUUCUUUUGUUGGAGCAUUUGACGUCAUUUUAUUUUGACGAUUUCUUUUAUUUUGGAGAGUUACCGAAAAUGAGAUUUUCGGUGGAUAUGUAUAUGGAUUCUUAUGAGUAUAGUAUAAAUGCUAGCUAGCCUUACGUGUUUGGUCCGUCAUAAUAAGGUAAAAUUCCAUUAUGGCGUGACGUAAGUGUUAGACACAAGCGUCAUAGCCCUAUAUGAAAACUAUUUUCAUAUCUAGUUCAUAUAGAUUUUCAUAUAGGGAGUCCACACGUAUAUACACCCGUCCUCUUCGGUCAUAAUGAGGAAAAAUUUCAUUAUGGCGCGACGUGAGCGUUAGACGCAAGCGUCGUAGCCUUGUAUGAAUUUCUAUUUUUCUAUUUUGUUCAUAGAAUUCGUACAAGGAGUCUGACGAGUGUAAAUACAUACAUAUAUGUAUAGUUUAACCUGAGAUUCUGUAUUUUAUUAAGUUUUGGAGACUAGCUCAUGUAUUUGCCAGUUUAUGAGUUGAAAGCUUUUGAGCUGUCGCAUGCAGCAUAUUUUAUAUGGAAAUUAAAUUGGGGAAGCAUAAAGAAAUAUUGUUAUUAAAUUUAUUUUUGUCCACUCACUCUAACGUGUUUUCAAAUGUUUUCCCAUGCGCCAUUUGUUUUAAAAAUGCUCAGUAUGCAGGUUAGCUUAGUUGAGGUCGGGCGUACAUGAAGAAGAGACAUAGUCAAUAGUAUAGUUUCUGCUCAUUUCUAUAUUUCUAGUUCUUUUCUUCUCCAUUAGAGCUGUUCUGAACUGUGAUUGUUGGUUAUGGGAUUAUUCUUAUUAAGUUAGUAAAUAAAUUGGGAGAUGUUGUGAUUUGGGGAGCACGAAGGCUCCAGGAGUAGAGGGUUAUAGAUGGAUUUUUUCGAAGUGUUUGCAGGUAUUUCUAGGAAGGGUUGUCCAUUUUCAAGAGAGAUUAUGUCGAAUUUUCGGUAAAUUUUCCUUGGAGGUGGUCCCCGCAGGAUUUACUUCGGGUUUCAGGGUGAAAUUCGAGGUGGGUCCUGACACCAAGUGAGGAUUUUUAAAAAUGUUUAGGUGAUGUGAUAAUGAAAUUGGAAAAUAUCAAAUAACAAUUAAAACAUUCAUCUAACCAUUCAUUCAAAAGUCUACAUAUAAUUCUCGUUAUAAGUAGGAUGGCAAUGGGUAGGGUAGGAUACGGGGAUCAAAAUACCGUAUCCAUACCCUUUUACAUUUCUCAUCCCCGUACCCGUAAUUAGAUAAUGGGGAUUUCCCGUACCCGUACCCUUUGGGGAUUACGUUUCCAUACCCGUACCCGUACCCGUUAACAAUUAUGUAUUAAAUUAAAUUUUUUUUUAAAUACGAAAUACAUUAUAUAAAAGUAUGAAAUUAAAAUCAAAUACCAAAAUAAAUAAGUUUCAUGCUUCAAUCCAAUAAAAAUAAAUACAAGUUUUGGUUAAAACAGAACAAUACCGAUAAAUUUCAUUAAGAAAAUAAAAAUAUAUAAUAAAAAGGAAGGUCCGUUUAUUAAGAGAAUCACAAAUUUUUUUACAUAAAUAUUUAUUUAUAAAUUAUAUAUAAAUAUAUAUAAUAAAUUAUAUAAUUAUAUAUAAUAAUAUUUUCAUCCUUAAUAGGUGGGGAUAGGGACGAAUAUCAAAAUAUCAUACCCGCCCCGUACCCGAUUUAAGAAUCCGAAUACUGGGGAUCCCCAUCUCCAUUACCCAUUUAUAACCGUAUAUCUUCCUCGUUAGAGUCGAAUACCCGUGGGUACCCUACCCGCUAGGGAUUAUUGCCAUCCUUAGUUAUAAGGUUCUCAUUAGAAGUUUUCCCACUAAUGAAAUCGAAAAUUAGAAAGUCGCAACCUAGCUAUCUAUCAUGACGAAAACUAACAAAACCCGAUGAAGUAUCACACCAAGGAACUCUAGAUCUAACGUAUAUCUGUCUUUUGUGAUCCAAAAAACACGCGUACGACAUAUUACAUUGACUUACAACAUUUGGUGUACGGUAAUACCGUAUACCGUAUACCAUUUCCUAAACAUUUUCUCAAAAGUUAUACCAAGCACAACACCCAUAUAGGCAUAUUUAAGAAGUCCAAAAAGAAAUAAAGUUCAUUUUUCUCGGUCUUCACUAUCCGAUUUAAGUUUGUUUAACCCUAUACAGUCCAUUAUUUCAAGGAUCAAAACAAUUGAUAAUCGGAUUCGAUGCUAAUGAUCGACUUGGCUUUAAGGUGAUGGAAACCACUUCCAAUGGCCAGAAAAGACUUGAUUGGAGACUCCAAAAUAUAUAACUAGCUAGAUUCCGUAUUUCAUACCAAAUAGGAUCUCAAAUUAUAUAAAGUGAGAAAGCAAACUCAAACUAUCAAAAUGUUGUCGAAAUAUAUGGAUGGAGUUCUUGCAAAUUCUAUAUAUUUGAACCAAAGGAGAGUACGUACGUAGUACCUAUAGCUAUCUAAGGUUAGUCAGUUACUCAAUUUUAUUAGACUUCAUCAAUCGCUUUUCGUCUUUCACUCUAUAUAUGCCAUUUUGAAGUAGGUAUAACCAAGGAAAGGAAGUAGAAGAAGAAGGAAAUUUCAUUAUAAGCCAUACGAUUACAAGUGCAUAUAUAGUACGUAGUAGCUAGUUAUUGUCUUAGUGCGUUAGACCUCUCGUACUACAAGAGAGCCAUACAGGACUACCUUUAUUCAUUCUCUACCCCUUAAGCUAGCUUAGUGCCAAAACACUACGUGCCGCAUCAUAUUUUUACAUUUCGAUCAUCACAAUGAUUUAAGCAAUAGCCCAUCAGCUCUUCUGGGGCAUGGCAGCCGACCUUGAGGAGCUCAAGGCAACGAUCUCCUGCCUGUUGUACUUGAGGUUCCUAGCCUGCUGACGGUCCAUCUGGUAAGCGUUGGCGAGGACCACGUCGGGGAGUGAUCGCAGGACGGAGGUCCUACCAGCCAUGGUGUUGAUCAUGGCAUUGUCUUGGGUCUUAAAGGCAAUGUACUCGUAUCCAUUGCUCAUGGCCUUUUGCAACACGGCGUGGUUUUGCGGCACGAUGAAGAGCUGUCCCUGGCGGACCUGGUCGUCCAAGAUGCAGUCGCCAUUGUCGUUCACCACCUGAACCCUAGCGCUGCCCCUGAUGACGUAGUAUACUUCAUGGGCGUUCAAGUUCCAGUGUGGGCUGUAGAUAGCGUUCUGCAUUUACAACGUAUCAAUCACUUUUAAUUACUUAAGCUCAAACAAUUAAUUGGUAACUAAUUAAAAUGAACUAAUAAAUGCAUGGAAAAGAAUACUGACGUUGUAGAAGAAGCCUCUCUCAGCGCUGAGACGGAGGCGCCUGAGAAUAGGCAUGGUGAAGGCGUUGAGGGUGCUGAUGCGACCGGCUUGCGGGCUGAAGACGUCGGCCAUUGUAGGCCUUCCGAUGUUUUGUCUCAUCUUCAUGUGGCAGAAGAGCUCCUCCAUGCCGUUCUCUUCAUAUUGUCCUUGUUGUCCCUGCAUUUGUGUUCCUUGGAUUUGCCUUUCCUCCCUCAUUGACUCUGGGGGCUGGAUGAAGUCGAGGCGUCCCUGUACCCUAACAAUCUGUGGCCUGUUGUCGUUCAUUCCCUGGAGCUGCUGGGCGGUCUGUUGGUCGAUGUUAAGAGCGUCGGCGAGGAGCUGUGUGUCGAAGCCGGAGAAGACGUUGUUGUAGUUCCCCUGCAUUUGGUGCCUGCUCUUUCCUUGUUGUCUCCGGAUCCGUGGGCUUUGGCCUUGUUGGGUGAACUCAUCUUGUGGGUUACCAGCAAGGUAGAAUCUCUAUAUAUAAAGAGAGAUUAAGCAGCAACAAGUCAGUGAACAUUACCCUAAACUAUUUUUGGUACAUGCAAGAAUAUAUACUGAAUGAAAUGUGGUAAGAAAUUGUACCCUUGGGAUUCGGUCCAGCUGGUUGUGCUGGUUGCUCAUGUCAAGAAGACUGACGAAAACAAGAGGUUCGUUAGCGUCGUUGUAACUCCAGCAGGUGACACCAGCAGGAAUGGCGAUAACAUCACCUUCCCUGACGCGUCGGACCUUCUGGUGACGGUCGAGCUGAUCAUAGCUCUCUUGCUGGCCUUGCUGGCCCAUUUGUCCCUCUCGGCGUAUAAUCUGUUGCCGGCGGCCUUGUUGGCCUUGAGAUUGUCGUUGCUCUUCAACAGAUUGUUCGGUUUCUUCGAAAGUCUCGGGACAGCCGGGGAGAACCAUUCCUAGAUGACCCAUACCUGCAAUACUCAUAGCAAUAAGUUAACAGUCCAUCGACAAACGCUAGCUAGCUACAUGCAAUUUCGGUAUAACUAAUGAAGUGAUAUGAUAUUACCUCGGACGACGUAAACGAGUCGUGGAGUGUUAACGUAAGAAGGCAGGUGGAGGCCGUUGUUCUCAAUGGUGAUCUUCUGAACGGCGACGCCAGCGCACUGGAAGUCAUCCUGGUUGUAGUCCCAGGACUCGAUCCGACCUGCUUCAGUCUCAAUGCGGUUGUCGGGCUCGCGGGCUUGGAUCCGGUUCAGCAUGCACUCAUUUUGCUGGCUGAACUGAGUUUGUCGCCGACUGGCUAAGCAGCCGUGGAAGAGAACAAGUAAGCAAAGAGAGAAAGCGAGAGCUAAGUGCUUGGCCAUUGUGAUGAUCAAUGGCAGAUAGCUAGUUGUGGGUUGUGAUGAUGAAGUGGAGAGUAGAGCGUUGGUAUUUAUAGGAGAUGAGAGGAGGUGAGGGUGAGAAUAGUGCAAAUGAUGUGUAAGGAAUCUCAUGCCAUUCUUCUCUUUGCAUGGCUAUUAGUAUUUCACAUUCUUACACCUCAUUUCUCUUCCAGGGCAGGUGGCUCUUGGCUUCAGAGAAGGUUUAAAGUUAUAAGAACAAGGUGGCAACCAGGUGGGGUGGCCAUGAUUGUUUGCAAGUGAAGCAAAUUUCACCUCCCCGAACCUCGUGCAAUGCAUGAACUCGAAUAAUUAACUCAUGAAUCAGAUCUGAAACUGUUUCAUGUUCGUGAAGAAAUAUUACAUCAGUACCAUCCCGAACUAUCUAUAAUUUACGGAGGUGAAACAUAAGAUGAUAAGAACUUUAUCAUCUUCCAAAUAGUAAUAUCCAUAUUCCUUUACUCCCUUUGUAUGUAAUUCAAAUGUAGUAUUUAAGACUUUUUGAACAUUUUUCAAGAAUGAUCUCUGGACUCGGCGCGCUCUUAUGUAUAAGAGUUCCUUUACCUGCUAAUAAAUCUAAAUAACUUAUAUAUAUAUAUAAACGGAUUUUCUCAGCUGCGGACGUCCGCACCAAUUUUUUGGUGCGGAUUUCUAUUUUUUCAUCACUUUUCGAUCGAAUUUCCUCAUCUCCACCGUCUAGUAUCUAGAUAAUAUUGUGUAGAUCAUCUCUGCAANNNNNNNNNNNNNNNNNNNNNNNNNNNNNNNNNNNNNNNNNNNNNNNNNNNNNNNNNNNNNNNNNNNNNNNNNNNNNNNNNNNNNNNNNNNNNNNNNNNNNNNNNNNNNNNNNNNNNNNNNNNNNNNNNNNNNNNNNNNNNNNNNNNNNNNNNNNNNNNNNNNNNNNNNNNNNNNNNNNNNNNNNNNNNNNNNNNNNNNNNNNNNNNNNNNNNNNNNNNNNNNNNNNNNNNNNNNNNNNNNNNNNNNNNNNNNNNNNNNNNNNNNNNNNNNNNNNNNNNNNNNNNNNNNNNNNNNNNNNNNNNNNNNNNNNNNNNNNNNNNNNNNNNNNNNNNNNNNNNNNNNNNNNNNNNNNNNNNNNNNNNNNNNNNNNNNNNNNNNNNNNNNNNNNNNNNNNNNNNNNNNNNNNNNNNNNNNNNNNNNNNNNNNNNNNNNNNNNNNNNNNNNNNNNNNNNNNNNNNNNNNNNNNNNNNNNNNNNNNNNNNNNNNNNNNNNNNNNNNNNNNNNNNNNNNNNNNNNNNNNNNNNNNNNNNNNNNNNNNNNNNNNNNNNNNNNNNNNNNNNNNNNNNNNNNNNNNNNNNNNNNNNNNNNNNNNNNNNNNNNNNNNNNNNNNNNNNNNNNNNNNNNNNNNNNNNNNNNNNNNNNNNNNNNNNNNNNNNNNNNNNNNNNNNNNNNNNNNNNNNNNNNNNNNNNNNNNNNNNNNNNNNNNNNNNNNNNNNNNNNNNNNNNNNNNNNNNNNNNNNNNNNNNNNNNNNNUAUAUAUAUAUAUAUAUAUAUAUAUAUAUAUAUAUAUAUAUAUAGGUUUCAACCGCAAGAGGUUAGUUCAGCACUAGUAAAUAUAUAAUUACAUGGCACAUGGAAGUGAUGGAACAAAGAAGUGAUACGCAAAUCAUCAAACUAUCACAUACGGCCUGAAACUUUGUGCUAAUACGUACAUAUGCCCUUCAAAUAUCCCUUAAACUUGUCAUAUUGUCAUAUAUAUUGACAUGCAUUUCAUUUGCAUCAAUGCAGAAUCAAACCCUUCGUAUAAAAUAAAAAUAAAAAUGCAGAAUCAAACCCUGACGUUAAUACAAGGAUAUUAGUUCCUAUGUCACUAACCGAUCGAUUUGGUGCAUCAAGUGCUCACCCAUGUACAAUCCCAAACAUAUGAUUCAUAUGAUAUGAAAUAGGCCAUCACAACCGAGAACUCACCGCCCCUCCUCUAUUUAACCCUGAGCUUAGAUAUCAAUCAUAUGAAACGCAUUCAUUUCCACAAGUGAAUUAAAAACCUCUGAAGGCUUAAUUAGCCGUUUAGGGUUCAUAUAUGGAUCUCUCAGUAAUUUGAAUUUGGCCACUUAUUCGAUCUUGUCAAACGAAGGACGCAAGGCAAUCUUUAGCUACUAGUUGUCCUUAGCGAUGAUCAUUAAGCACGUACGUACAGUUUCUAUAAUAAACUUUCUUAUUUCUUUCUAUUACAAUGGUUUGAAGCUUUUCUGUGCUAAUUGAUUCGUAAAGCUCGAGAGUACGUAGCUAUAUAUAUCCCAAUCAUUAAGGACCCUAUUAAUCAAAGUGAACAAUUAGCUUCAGGAUAACUGAGUAGGAAUAAUGGAGUAGCACCGGGAAAUAAGUCGGAAAAUACGUUCGUCCGGACUAAGUACGUAUGUGUGCGUCCGGACUCUCUUUUAUUUACUUUCUUUUGUCAAUGCAAAUCAUAAUCUUAACCGUUCAAAAGUUGAAUUAACCUAUAUAGAUCAUCUCUACAAAAUUUCAAUGUAAACAAACAUCGUUUUCUUAGUCGAUUACAUUAAACAAAUUGACAGUUCUAGUGAAAGUUAACAGUCUCAUGAUCAGUCGUCCAUUUGUUUGAUACAUUCGGCUUAGAAAACAAUGUUUGUUUACAUUGAAAUUUUGCAGAGGUGAUCUCCAUAUAUAGGUACGUAAAUAAGAAAGAGUUCAGACGCACACGUACAAACUAGUCCGAACGCAAAUAUUUUCCAAAUAAACUAGUCCGAACGCAAGUAUUUUCCAAAUAAGUUAAAUGACAAAAGCCAAAGUUUACAAGUACAUAAGAUUAGACCGAGUGUAAUGAUAAAAUGCGUGCACCAAAUCGGAAAUUGAGACUGAGAAUAAGAUUAAACACUCUGUAGUGUGUACUUACGUAGAGUUUAUCUAUCAAACUUGUUGUCGAAUUUGCUUUGAGGCAAAACCACCUAGCUACUUCAAAUUGGCGUGUAAGAUGAUGCUUAUAGUUGUGGACUUGUGGGUAAUGAGUUGAGAUUAAGUUAGAGUGACUGCGAGAGCGGUAUGUUGGAGUCUUCAAAAUAUAACCCAUUUUACAUUUCUCCUAUUCUAUGAUUAUUCUUUUUUCUUAUCCUAUGUUCUAUAAGUAGAUAACACAAUUGUCAAUUCUUUUAUUUUUCUUCUCUGUUCUAAAAAAACAAAAGAAUGUCUAAAUGUUGAAUCAACCAUAUAACAAAUUAAGCAAUACACUAAAAGAAGCUGCAGCUACCAGCUUGCUUUGGUCAAUUUGUUAUAUACUAAAGAUAUACCAAUUAUUCAUCAACGUCGACUCGGGUCAACGUACCACAUAGAUAUGCAAUAUGAAAGGGAAGAGUAUAUCAUCAAGGCAAACCAAAAAAGUGAAAACUUCAUUAGAAAGCAUAACGUUACAAGUACGUACAUAUACGUAGCAGCUAGUACUAUAACUUAGUACAUUGGAUCUCCCAUACUACAAAAGAGCCAUACAAGGCACUUUUAUUCCCUCGAACUGACGAACUCUACCCCUUAGCUAGCUUGAUGCUAAAACACUACAUGCCGCAUCACAUUUUUACAUACAUAUAUUGAUAUAUUUAAGCACUAGCCCUCUCGGACUGGAAAGAUCUUGAGGAGCUCAAGGCAACAGUCUCCUGCCUGUUGUACUUGAGGUUCCUUGCCUGCUGACGGUCCAUCUGGUAAGCAUUGGCGAGGACCACGUCGGGGAGUGCCCGGAGGACGGAGGUCCUGCCAGCCAAGGUGUUGAUUAUGGCAUUGUCUUGUGUCUUGAAGGCAAUGUACUCGUAUCCAUUGCUCAUGGCCUUUUGCAGCACGGCGUGGUUCUGCGGCACGAUGAAGAGCUGUCCCUGGCGGACCUGGUCGUCCAAGAUGGUCUCACCGUUGUCGUUCACCACCUGAACCCUAGCGCUGCCCCUGAUGACGUAGUACACUUCAUGGGCGUUCAAGUUCCAGUGUGGGCUGUAGAUAGCGUUCUGCAUGUACCACAUAAUAACCAUAAUUAAAACUGCUAAAUUAAACUCCACCAUAACUUGAUUAGACUUAGUUGAUAGACAAAUCAAUAUGCAUGCAUAUAUACUCACGUUGUAGAAGAAGCCUCUCUCAGCGCUGAGACGGAGGUGCCUGAGAACGGGCAUGCUAAGGCCAUUGAGGACGCUGAUGCGACCGGCUUGUGGGCUGAAGACGUCAGCCAUUGAAGGCUUGCCGAUGUUCUGCUUCAUCUUCAUGUGGCAGAAUACCUCCUCAAAACCAUUCUGUCCUUGUCGUCCUUGUUGUUGUCUUUCCUCCCUCAUUGACUCUGGGGGCUGGACGAAGUCGAGGCGUCCCUGAACCCUAACGAUCUGUGGCCUGUUGUCGUUCUGUCCCUGGAGCUGUUGGGCGGUCUGUUGGUCGAUGUUGAGAGCAUCGGCAAGGAGUCUGGUGUCGAAGCCGGCAAAGACGUUGUUGUUGUUGUUUCCCUGUUGUUGGUGUCUGAUCUUUCCCUGUUGUCUCGCGAUCGAAUGUCGGCUUUGGCCUUGUUGGGUGAACUCAUCUUGUGGGUUACCAGCAAGAUAGAAUCGCUGCUCAUACAGAUCAAGCAGCCAUUGAGUUAAACGAUUUUGUAACAUUGUAUCCAUAUAUAUAAUCAGGUGUCAGUAAGAAAAUCCAUAUAUAAUUAUAUAUUAUCAAAACGUUGAUAAGAAAAGGUACCCUUGGGAUUUGGUCAAGUUGGUUGUGAAGGUUGCUGGUGUCUUGAAGACAGACGAAAACAAGAGAUUGGUCACCGUCGUUGUAGGACCAGGUUGUGACUCCGGCGGGGACGGCGAUAACGUCACCUUCCUUGACGGGUCGCACUUUCUGGUGUCGGUCUAGCUGUUCGAAGCUCUCUUGUUGUCCCUGUUGGCCUUGUCGGCGUCCAAUUUGCUGGCGACCUUGUUGCCCUUGCCCUUGCUGUUGCGAGCCCUGUAGUUGUUCCUCGUAAGAUUGCUCGGUUUCUUCGAAAGUCUCGGGACAUCCGGGGAUCACCAUUCCUAGUUGACCCCUACCUGAAAUAGAUCACGUAUAAAAGACAGUAAGUUAACCUUGCUCAAGCACAACAUGCAAUUUAGUCAUAAGUUGAUCAGAAAAAGCGACGUUUAGAUAUUACCUUGGACAACGUAAAGGAGGCGAGGACUGUUGGUGUAAAAAGGCAAGUGAAGGCCGUUGCGCUCGACGGUGAUUCUCUGAACGGCGACUCCGGCGCACUGGAAGUCAUCCUGGUUGUAGUCCCAUGACUCGAUCCGACCCGCCUCGGUCUCAAUGCGGUUGUCGGGCUCGCGGGCUUGGAUCUGGUUCAGCAUGCACUCAUUUUGCUGGCUGGACGGAGAUUGUUGGCGAUAGGCUGAGCAGCCAUGAAAGAGAACAAGCAAGCAGAGAGAGAGAGCUAAAGACCUGGCCAUUUUGUAGAGUGGAUACUAGCUAUAGCUACUUGGGUGAGGAAGAGAGUGGAGAGGGGUUGGGAUUUAUAGGGUAGCGAAAGAGGUAAGGGAGGGACACGUACGUUGAGGAAGGGGUUGCAUGUGUAUAAGGCAUCUUCAGCCAUCUUUCUGUUUGCAUGGUGUGAAGGUUUGAAGGGUUUACACCUCAUUUCUGUGGUCUGAGGCAGGUGGCUUUGGUGAAGAAGAAGAUACAAAGUGCAUGGGAUAUAUGUGGCGAGAGGAUGGAGUCUCCAGUAUUGUCCGGAUGCAAACUGAAACUGCUUUUGAAGUUUACUGCCUUAAUUUUGGUAAAUAUGGAGAAAAAUACAUACAGUUUGUGAAAAGUAAAAUAAAUAAAGGAACUCCAUCAACUCAUCUGAACAUUGGGAAUUUGGGAUAAAUAACUAGUUAUCUCGAUCUGAUCUCAGAUAUGCAUGGCCUAAACUUACAUCCUACACUACCAUAGCUGCAAUGUAUAUUAAUACACAUGAAUCUAACCAAGCUCCUUAUAACUAGAAAAUAGAAUUGUUCUUUUUUUUCUUCUUUAAUUUGUAUCUUGGGUAUCAGUACUUUAACUGAUAUAUAACAACUGGAAAACUGUACAACAGCGUCUUGUACGGAAGUGCAAUGUAGGACGUAUUUUAUAUAGGAAAAUUCAAGGUAUUGGACUGUUUGCUAUACAAUGUAUUUUUAAAUAUUUUCGAUCAUCGGUUCUUGAAUUUUAAGAAAUAUGGUAACCGGUUUGGGGUUGUCUACGUAUAGAGAUGUGUAUAUUAUACUCAUUUUACAACUAAUUAAACCAAACUUAUAAUUUAAUGAAAAUAAAUAUACGACGAUGACAACAAACCUACCAGUUGAUUAUGUCAACUCAUUUGAAAUUACUAAUGAAGACACAUAAGCGUAAAAAAUAAUAAUAAUCCUCUUUUUCUUUCAUUACAGUAGUCUUCAUCUAGAAGAAAAAAUUCUUUUCCAACAUAAACACUAACAGAUACGUCGAACUCCAUGGAAGAUAGUGACAUUGUUUUGGAGUAUAUGCACAAUGUAUGAGUUUCUUGUUUUUUUUUUUUUUUUUUUUUGUUUCUUUUUUUGUAUGAAUUCACAAAUGUAUUAUUGUAAUUGUUUCAAUAAGAAGGAAACUUGUUGUCGACUAAGCAGAGUUUGCCCGUCCUAUUACUACAAAGAUUUUGAAGUUGUUUUUUUCUUUGUGUAUACUAAACACUCGUAAAUUUUCUUUAUUCAAAAGAAAAGUGUAUACUGACAAUCUCUUCUCCCUAAUAGAAAUAGCUUUAUGAUAUAGCGGCAAAAGACAAAUCUUGAGUUUUGGAUUUCGUUAUAAGAACUUGAUAAUUUUAUAAGAAAGUAAAUUAAUGGGUUGUUAUAUAUAGAGCUUGAGUAUAUAUACAUGGACUCUUUUUGAUAAUUUUAAGAGAAUGUUCUAGGAUAUUCUGUAUCUUUCUAGAUAUUCUUUAUGUGUGCAUUGGCCUUAUGCCAAUAGGAUAUGUAGUUAGACUAAUUCUAUGUAUUCAUAUCCUUACCAUAUUGGUAUUGUGUAAUUCCCUAUAUAAAGGGCUCAUAUCAAUGAAUAAGAUGAUGAUUCUCUUGCUAUCUCUUUCUCUACACUUUAUAUUUCAUCACGUUAUCAUGCACUUUGUUAUAACCCUAGAGCCAAUAGCCCACCAUUUGUUUUCCAAACCCUAAAAUCUGACAGCCUUGUUUUUCCUGAUUUCCGACCAAAAUUCCGACUGCCCUCUGCCGGAGUUUUAUAUCCCCAGAAAGCUCUCUCCGUCCUGGAUCCAACGCCGCCGGCCUCACCCUGAGAACCGGCCGGAAAGUCUUCGAACCGGCCGCUAGAAGAUUCCAGACCGCCGCCGCUACCGACCACCGGUUCACCACCUUCCCUUGCUCCGAUCAACCUGAAAUUUUGACAGCAGCUUCCCCAUCCAGAGCUGCUCAUUCUGUCAAAUUUUCAGCCCCAAAUUCGAAGUAUAAGUAGGCGAAACGUUAUUUCUCCUCUCGGCAGCCUCUAGAAACCAAAGAUUUCAAGAUUGGUCGUCUUCCAAGGAAACCAGAAAGGUAUGUUUUGAAACCUUAAACUUUUCCAAGUUCAAUAACUCGGGGAGGAUAAAAUCUUUUCCGCCCUUCUCUAUCUCCAUUCUAUGCUUGGGAUUUUGUGUGUGCAGGUACCAAAAAUCCCGGAAUUUUAUUCGCGGGUCAAGAGUGUAUUUGAUCACUCUUGCUUCCUUGUCCAGGUUGUGUAUGAUCAACCCCAACCUUUCUCCGGAUUGUGUUUGAUCAAUCCGAGGCCUUUUCCGAAUUGUGUUUGAUCAAUUCGCGACUUUUUCCGGAUUGUGUAUGAUCAAUCCGAAGGACAAACCAUUAAAAGCAUUGUUUGUGACCUCUAUCGAGUCUCAUAACAGCUUGGUUUUGUAUGCAAGAGCAACGUAACAUUCUGCUCAUUGAGUUUUGACGUACUCGAUACCUAAGACGAAUCUUCGCUUGGUAUCUGUGGAACAUUUCACUGGAAAGGAUUAAACAACAUAUUUUGACCCCCAGGCUAACAAGCCUAGAUGCCGAGAUUUCACAUCUCAUGCGCUCAAAGUCUUUGACGCGCCACAUCGACAAGCCUUCAAUGGCAAUCUGUGUAAAAAGUAAUGACCACAAAGUACUAUGGAAUGCACUCAUGGAGCGUUUCUUGAAACGUCCAUAUAACUCUACUUGUUGAGUUAUUAGUCAAGUGGAUUACUUACCGCCUUAAUUGACUACAUAUUGUCGAUGAUCAUUUGUGGCAUCAUGAUCCAUAACCUUUAGCGGAUUCGAUCAUCAUCAAGUUCUCUAGGUCCUCCAAGUUGGUUUGGAAUUACCAACGAGACUUGAUUUUGAUCAUACAAACGGGAAUUGUAUAUAUACGCUAAUGUGAUAAAUUUAUUUAGGAUUAUCCCCUAAAUGUGGGAACAACAAUAUGGGUCAUGACAACGGCAGAAAACGUCGUGCCGAUGUCUAGAAAAGAGGGGGAGGUGUCACCGGCUCUAAUAGCAACACUCCCGGUCUAGACACCAUUUUGUCAAAACUACUCACGUCAGCUCAUGACAACGCAACCAUUGUGGAUCUUCGGAUCACUGGUUCAAGAUUGUCAAGCUCCUUCAAAUUGUGAAUGCAUACAAAAAGGUAUAGAAAAUCAAUAUGAGGACAAGAACAUCAUCCUCAUGAUCGCGAAUUUCAAAGAUUCGGAUCCUGCUCUAGCUACCCAUGACUUUGACGUCAUCGACUAGACAUUGAUUUUCGUUCCAAGCUAUAUGUACUAAGGCGUUGAGACCUUGAUGUACUCACAUUAGCAAUAACGAAUGCCUUGAGAAUUUUUUCGAAGUUAUAAAACUAUUCUCCUCUUAUGGUUCGUAUUGAUUUACAAACAAGAUUUACAUUUUUACAUCGUCCUUAGAAGCAUGGCAUAUUUACAAUCUACAUGGUUAGAUUGUGCAGUUUUGGUCUCUUCCAAGUGGAGAUGACGCACGCCCUUGCAUCCUUAAGUAGGAUCGCUAACGUGUUUCCGGUUAAGUCUUCUACCCUAUAGCAGAUUUUUCAUCAUCAAUUGUUCAACUAGGCUCAUCCAAGCUCAGUGUGAUGUCUUAGAAUUGCCCGAAAUUAAGGAGAUAGUGGUUUCAAGUGUGCCUCGCACUACCGACCCUCCACGGACAUGCCUGGUCAUACUGACUUGGAGUUACCGAAAGCUUUUGAUUUUGGAUCCCCCUACGCUAUUAAACCAAUUGCCGUCUUGCAAAAGAUGUUGAAGACUUAUCAAAAACCGGAAAAUUAUCAUCAUGAUCUAAUCCUCUAGGUCCUCUGAGUUAGUUUAUGUUCAUGUCAGGGAGAUUUUGCUAACUAGUCAUGGAGUUUACGACCUUAGAAUGACCGAAAGGACUUUGUUUUGAUCAUACACACGUCACUUGUGGCUAAGGCAAAAUCCUACACGCCACUUGCAAGCUUCACAGCUUCGCACAUGCCAAUUCUGCGAAAAACAGCAAUCUGUCCCUUCUGGACAGUCAACUUCGUUUGCGUUUUGUGAACAGCUCCGGACGAACCAGACAAUAAGCUUUAUAUCAUUGGAAAGCUCUAUGAGUCUAGUUUUCAGAACUUUUCGCGGUUCAUCUAUAUCUAUUUUAACAAGGAAGUUAUGGCUGUUUUAGUGCGCAAAAGUCAUUCUGCGCGGAAAUUUUUAUGCACUCUCGGGAUUGCAGCUUUUCGUAGCUUCUUUCAAUCCUUCUAAAUAGUUCAAGUGGAACUAUUAACUAGCCUAUCUACUCCUUCUUGUAGAUAUGUCUCAUCGAGACAUUGAGUGCUUCGCAGAUAGUGGAACUAUCCAUAACAUUCUAAGGAACCGGCAACUAUCUUUGGAUUUUGUGUCUUUGUAAAUCUUCUGUGACUACAAUGAUUGAAUCAUACCGGUCAUUCAAGGACGCGGUUUAGCUUAAAUCUUGAUGCCUCAUGGAACCAUGAUCAAUGUCACAGAUACCCUCUAUGCAUUGAGAGGCAAUCGAACCAUAUUGAGCUCUAAAGACAUUCCUGCUAAUAGUUUUCAUUUGAAAACACAUUGUGAGAAUGAACAAGAAUUCUUUUGUGUAUACCUUCUCAUGAAUGCGGACUGAAGUGCAUCUUGGAGAAAUUCAUGAGUCAAUCUAGUGGACUGUAUGUCACUAUGAUUCGAAUAUGAUUCGAAUAUCGAAUCUCAUGUUGUCACCAAACAUGAUAUUUGGGACACUGACUCAUAUAGGCUUUGGUUUUAACCAAUUAAGGUCAUCCUAGAAGAGAUAUAAUGGUCCAAAUUUUGAGAAAUUCUCAUGGACAUCCAUUCUUCCGCUCAAAACAAAGACAUUCGAGAUCUAGCAUCACCAUGAAGCAUGGUGGUGACCCGGGGGACAUUGACGUCACCCGAACAAGGCUCCAACUUCCCGGAGGCCGUCCGGUCAAUUCCUCAAGCAACUGAGGUGCACCAGCCUUUCCUCGAUGUCGCAUUGGCCCCCUGCAAUGCUUAUUACUCGUUUUGAAAGCCUAUUAUUUAGCUAAAUUAGGAGUGAGACCCUCCUACGCUAAAUAACACAAAAGUGAACAUUCUAUUCUUACAUAAAAUUAUGUAGAUAGAUACAACCAACUUGCGAACAUCUUUUAUGUUUUAUGGUGUUGGUUGAAGUGUUAACACACUGGUCAUGUGUUACACUAUUAUCUACUGCUUAUGUUGCUUAUACUUCUACGGGCUCACUACCCAUUCUUUAAAGAAGUUUAUCGGGAUGUAAGUUGAAGUGUCCUGUACCCCAUGUUCACACGCAAUACGGUCUCACCGAGGCUACGACUAAGCAACUUUAGCUUGUCGCUCGAACAUUAUUGAUGCGCACCAAUCUUUCUAUUGCGUCUUGGGGCUAUACAAUAUUUGCAUGCAGCUUUACUAUUCAUCUACAACUCACCAUCAUUGAAUAUUUUUGUACUACAGCUCGUGACUGUGUACCAGGAUUGCAAUCCUUGAGCUCAAACAAGAUUGAAACGGAUCUCCAAUCCUUGAGCUCAGCUAGAUAUUUAUUCUAGGUGUCAAAUCGCACUGCCACUGAAGGACAAUGAUGGGUCAUUUGAGAUGAAUAAGUAUUUAGGUUGGAUAUGAAUCUCCACCUAUAAUCCGCAUAUGUAGAAACCUUGUCAGACGAUCUCUUUCACCGCUAUAUUGCGGAUUGUCACUUUGAUGAGACAAUAUUCUCGCCGUUAGGGGGAGAUAAGAGCACAAGUGUUCAAGUGGAACGACGUGAAUUGUCGUGGUUUGUCCCCACUAAGUCUCAUCUUGAUCCCAAAUGCUUAAAGUGUUAAAGUGACGAGAUCACAUGCAGCAAAUAUGUCUGUAAGGAUUGAUGUCCUUUUCAAAGGACAUGGCGCGACCAAAAGGUGUUGGUCUUGACGCCAUCACCAUGGAUGGUGAUAUAGUGACGCCAUAUAGUGGCAAAAUUGGUGUCACAAAGCCGUGUGGCUCCCUAAAAGGAAGGAGACCUUUAGGUUCGAUACUUUCUCGCACUAGAAAGAAAACGAGCUUGGCACAACCUGAUCCAUUGAUCAGUGAUACUCAAAUCCGUCUCAUGAAGUCUGAAUUGUGAUUAUCGUUGGGGGACGCCUCAACGUCAAAUCCAAUCCAUAUAGAGAUCUCUACACGUAUUACACUAGUGUACAUGAGGACGUGGGAUAAUGAGUCUACUAUCGAACCACCCUUCGUUGAUGGAUAUCAACUUAGUUGAUUGGCCUAAUGGAAAGAUGUGAUCCAGCAUAACAAAGAGAUAGGUCCUUGGGCAGGUGAUGCCGACACCGCAAGCUAAACCCUAUCAACUAUGCCUUUGUUAGAUAACGUAGUGAGAACAAGAGCUUAGACUCACCUUAUGACGCAAGGUAUCUCACUAACACGCACUGAGAUCGACUACGAUAAGAUAUGCUUUCGUAAUGGAUGUCAUUGAACUCCACUACUUUGUCAGUUUGGUAGUUUCCGAAUAACUGAACAAGCAGCCUAUGAAUGUGAUCGUAAUAACAUCUCUACGGGAUCAGAGAUAUGCAUGAAGGUCUUGAACAGACUUCAUUCAUCCAAAUCAAGUGGCUCCAGACCACAGGAGCAUGUGUUUGCUAAAUGUAUUGAAACGCACAUGGACUCCACUUGAUUUGGAAGGGAUAUGGUGAAUUAUGCAUUUGCGUGUUCAUUCAAGAUUUACAUGGACUCUUGAUGGAUCAAGAGAUGCCAAUAUGUAUCAACAUCCGAAGAAAAAGAUCUUGGGAAGACACGGUCUCGAUAAGACACUCGAUGACUGUAUUGAUGAUGAUUUUUCAUCAAUCGGCUUAGGUGCUCUAACGAAAGUGAGGCCUACAUAUACUCCCAUGAUUAGUCAAAGUCUUUACUCUAAAGAGAGAUCCGUUGUUUUGUCUAAAGCAUGAUGACAAAUAUGUGUUAAGAGAUGGAGUUCCCAUCUAAGUACAAUUAGACGCAUCAAUGUACUCAACACAAUAUGAAAGACUUGACAUCUCAUUCGCUAUGAAAAGUUGUAAAGCUAAGUAUAGUUAUGCGCCCACGUAACGCCAAUGUAAUGGCAGUAACUCUUUUUUCAAUACUUAAUGGUAUGAAAGGUUGAGGCUAAUUCUAUCCCUACAUAAGAAAGACACAUCAAUAGCGAAAUCAAAAUCUGCCAAGUUUCGUAGGUCAACUUCCACGGGACCUACAAGAAAUCUCACUCACUAGAAAAUGGUGAAAUUGGUACCAUUGGAAAGUUCUAUGUGUCUACUUUCCAGGGACACCAACCAUUUGUUCAUACCUAUCAUAUUGAGUGAGUUAUGGCCGUUUUCAUAAAGUAUGACGAAUCUGUCCGAGAAUCUGAUUUUGGCAAAACAGUCAACUUCGACGGGACUUUGUGAAUAGCUCCUGAUGAAUCAGAACAUGUGUAAUAUACAGUUGGAAAGCUAAAUGAGUCUAGUUUCCAAAACCGUUUACGGUUCAUUCAUAUGUAUUUCCUAGAGGAAGUUACGACUGUUCUAGUAACUGAAGGUCAUGCUGCGCGGAAAUCUGAUUUCCUGCACAAACUUAUGUUUUGAGUUCACAAGCGGCCUUCUCCUCAAGAUCUAAGUGUAAAAGAUCAUUUGAGGACAAUACGGCAUGAUUUAGUUAAUCAUUGCCUAAUGCCACAUUUGAAGACAUGUUAAAGAGCAUUGACAUGCUAAGUUGUUGAAAUUUCCGUGAUUAGUAAAAAUCAGGAAUAGCCCUAUGAUUGAUGUAAAGAUCAGGGGGAGGUGCAAACUUCAGGGGGAGUCUAGCACAUACAUACAUGUCACUAUCAAAUGUGAAUGGUGCGUUGUACUCUUUUUCUCCUACGAUCAAGGUUCAGUUUUUCUCCCACAUGGUUUUUGUGACUUGACGAGGUUUUUAACGAGGCAACAGAUCAGCACCAUCGGCAUAUCAGAGCGGCACAAGGGGGAGUGUUCUAGGAUAUUCUGUAUCUUUCUAGAUAUUUUUUAUGUGUGCCUUGGCCUUAUGCCAAUAGGAUAUGUAGUUAGACUAGAUCUAUGUAUUCAUAUCCUUACCAUAUUGGUAUUGUGUAAUUCCCUAUAUAAAGGGCUCAUAUCAAUGAAUAAGAUGAUGAUUCUCUUGCUAUCUCUUUCUCUACACUUUAUACUUCAUCAGAGAAUAAUGUUUUUCUUGAUUUUAUUGGACUAUGGGCGUUCUGGGAAAAUUGAGGAGGUGUAUAUAACAUUUUAGUUAUUUGUAAAAGUAAAUUUGAGGUCCAUUAAACAAGAAGAUCCAACAGCCGUUUUUAGAGAUAUAAAUAGAACCUCCCAUGACGGAAUGAUAUUACAGUGAAGUUGAAAAAAAAAAAAAAAGUCACAAUGUGCUUGACCUAUAUAUAUAUAUAUAUAUAUAUAUAUAUAANNNNNNNNNNNNNNNNNNNNAAAAAAAGUAAAAACUAACAUAUGNUNUACUACUAUAUAUAUAUAUAUAUAUAUAUAUAUAUAAACCAUACUUUCUUGUAUCAUCUUCAAAAAUAAGGUUCAAAUUAACAGCUAAACAAAACAUCGAUUAUCGUACGUUAAUGUUUCCUUUAGUUAUAGACUACUAGCAGAAAUCCGUAAUAUAUAUAGCUCCACAAUAACUAGUAGUGAAGUAUCUACGUGCAUGCAGAGCUAUCUAUUUGUUCUGUACAUGGGAAUGGUGGGUUUGGCUUUAUACCGAUAAAGAACUCUCCUGUCCUUGAAAUUCCAGUUCUCAAAGGUCACGAAUAUCUUCCCUGGUUCACUAAAGUAGAAGGAGUUUCUCACACUCUCUCCUUGCAGUCUCUUCUUGUCUUGGAUUAGAAUGUUGUACGACCCUUCAUCAUCAGGAAGGAACUCUUCCUUGUACAACACGUCCCAUCCCACCACAGUUAGAUCCCACACCAUUGUCAAUCCACCCUAAUCAAAUGAAAACACCCCAAAAAAUGAAAAUUAUUAGUUAACAACAAGAUUCAACUCAUCAUUCGAUUAAACACGCGAUUAAUGACGAGAAUUAGUACCUCAACAACUGGAAUUUCAAUAUAGUUGAUUGUGUUUGCUUUGAUUAUGAGCUCAGAUACUUUGUCCUCUGGUGUGAACUCAUCAUCUUGCUCUCUUUUGAGGCCACCAUAUUGAACUGGGAGUUCUUCUGGUUCUAUGAACCUUUUUUUUCAUAAUCAUUUCCAUGCAAAGUAACUUGUGUAUUAGAGACACGGAUGAGAUACUAAUGUAAUUGGAUAGUUUCAAUUUUUUGAGUAGUAAUCUCACUCACUUGAGAAGGGUCUUUGUAACCUUUUGGGAUCUAGCAAAGAUGAACGUCUUCUUAGUUCUGUGACUUAGAAACCUUGAUCGGAGCACAUGAGACACAUAAUACCAAAGUGGAGCAUUGAUAACAAUCUGCCAGUGGAAAGCAAGAAAUUAACAUAUACCACAUUGUAAUUAGCAAGUGCAGAGUUUUGCUACUUACAUUCUUUUGAAUGAGCUCAGGAUAGUUGUCCUGUAACAAGAGCAGAGUUUUGCUACUAAGCGAACGAAGCUCCUUAAAAUCGGGGCCUGGGGAAUCCUUCAAAUCCGUAAUCUGAACCAUCGAAUCAACCCCUCUCUUGAAGUUGAGCUUCUUGAUUCCCUUUUCAAUGAAUUGAACUCUCCACCUCAAAAACUGUUGGCGUCUUGCUUCAGACCCGAAUGUUUUCUUGUACAAGUCUUUGUCCUUGAAAGGUCCAUACGAAGUGUAACACAAAGGGUGGCCAUCUUUGUCUCUACUAUUUAUGCACACCACGUCUUCAAGACCAGAGACUCCUAAAUCUUCUUCCAGAAUUUCAUCAGUCCUGAAUUCUUUUCGCCAUUUCAGGGUUCUUUUCAGCAUUUCAAAUGCGUCGCUGGUCUUGUAAUCCCGGGCUUUCAAGAAUUUGAGGAGCAAAACAUCAGUGCCUUGAUGGCCUUUGCUUGGCAACAAAGGCACACCCCAUAGGGUAAUCUCCUUGAGUUGUUCUUUCUGCCUCAAGCUUUCAUUUCGGCUAAUCCUUCUGCUGGGUUUUCCGAGAAUGUAAUUCCCCAUAAUUGCAUCUUCAACUCUGCACCGGAAUUCCAUCAAGGCUUUCCUCUUCUUCUUCUUCAUUGACGCAGAAGCAGCUUUGGUUUCCUCAUCAUCCUCUAUAGCUCUACGUUCAACAUCUUCUUCAUCACUAUCCGGACAUAAUUCCCGGGGGCUUUCCAAGAUGUAGUCAUUAGGCUGAUCAUAAUUUCCCAGAGGCGAGUCAAGCUCUUGCUCUCUGCCCUGGUAAUUAGCUUCAUUUUUCAUUUUGGGUCUCCUGAUCAUUCAUCUCCCAUUGUCAAAUAUAGAGGAGAUUGAAAUCCCCGGCAUUCAGAGUUUCCGGGGAAACUGAAUAUUGGUGGUGCUCGGAUUCAAUGAUGGGGAGUUGAGAACGACGAACACAAAAAGUUUACAUCUUUCCUUUCUCUAUUACCUCAAGCUCAAGAAAGGCCUGGCGCCAAAUUUAGGUUGGACAAUCGUAGUAACUAACGGUGAGAUUGGAACAGGCUUUUUUACAAGUGUUUUAAACUUUUAUCCCCAAUUCAUCGGGCUUGGCUGGCAUACAAUUAGUGGUUGUUGUAAAUAGAUUAGGUUCCAAAUGCAAGUCAAAUUUAGUAUUUGAGUUUCAACACUAAACCCUUAAUCCAACUCGUUGCCUAACAAUGUGCAAGAAUCACUGUCCAAGUCAAAAUUUUGCCUUGCUGGGAUAAGGGAUCUAAGAACAUCUCCAAAAAAGAGAUAGAAAAACACAAUUGUACAAAAGCAACACCAUGGAAACGGUGUUAUGUCGUAAAGGUGCAACAAGUUAUUCAAGUUAUUAGAUUUGCAAAGGUCACCAUCUGUCCUCAAAAAAGGUCACAAACUGAUCUCCACUGUCCUGGUAUGGGAGGCAUUGACAAUAGAAUGAGAAGAACGAAAGAAAAGGGGAACAACUUACAAGCUAAUACUAAACAGAUGGUUGCUGGAGAAAGAAAAGAGACAAUGGCUGAGAUUAAUCCUCUACAUUCUGGGAAGUUCGAUGCAUUAUCUUGUCCUCCUUGACUAAUUCACAACCUGUAGCAGUGAUUUUUACAUCCUAAUACAGCGAAACCUAACUGCUGAUUUCCAUGCCUAUGAAAAGAAUGUAACCUGAACGGCCGUUGAAAUCUUGUAAUCAUAUUUACAGUGAAAUGGGAUGUGAAAUGAUUGAUCUGUAUCUAUAUAACAAGUCAUUAUCCAACUGCAGACUGGGAGCUGCUGCAUUACUCCUCUCGAAAUCUAGUCAAGUCAAAUGACAUGGUUUUGGAACAACUGCAAUAACAGCAGCACAAUUAGCGCGUUAAGAAACUAUAAUAUAAAUCCUCAAGAUAUAACCAUGUGACGUGCUCAAAUUCUUGUCUGAUGCUCACCUCAUGUCAGCGUCCCUGAAAACCCCAACCAGAGCUUCAGCCUUGUCAUAGAAGCUAUCUUUUAGAGAUAUUACAAUACUCUGAAAACCAUUGCCUCCUUCCGUAUCCUGGUUAACCCUGGCUCCUUGGCAAGACUUUGAACGGAUGAAUCGAGCAACUUUUGCUACAUUUAAGUUAUCCAGUGCAGCAUCAACUUCAUCCAGUAUGAAGAAAGGCGAAGGCCUAUAGCUGAAGCAUUCAUGAAAACAAAUGUGGAAAAACAAUUAAUUACAGGCUCUUAUCUACAGUGUAAAAGAGUAGAAACCAAAAACUAGAACAAAACUUUCGUAGUGGAACAGCGUACAUAUUGGUGAAAGGAAGACCAAAAGCCAGAAACUCCACAAUCCCCACCCAAAAAUAUUCAUAACUAUUGAAGCAUGUGCUCUAUGUAUCUACUGCAAGGCCUACCCAGAAUCUUUUGUUCUUGGAUGUCUUUAAAGGUAAACACUAUAUAUGAUUAACAUAUACCUGUGUAUGGCAAACAGUAAUGCUAAUGCUGCAACAGUUUUCUCUCCGCCAGAUAAUUGUUCCAUAUCUCGAAAGCGCUUUGUUGGGGGCAUAGUAGUGUACUUGACGCCAUGUAGAUAUGGAUCAUCUUCAUUUUCUAAAUUCAAAUAUGCCGUCCCACCAAGUGGAUGUGUAUUGCUCUUCGUCAGUUGCUUGUAUAUCUUAUCAAUAUUACUAGAAAUAUGGUUGAAGGCAUCCAUAAACUUCUCAUACCUGCAUUGACCAAAUAAACCAUUACAAUCAAAUGUCAGGGAAAAAAUAGAAAUCAGUUGCGUAGUGGGCAUAUUUGUCACUUACGUGAUGAUUUCUUUCACUUUCUGUCGACAGUAAACAUUGACCAUUCCUAUUACUAGUUUCUAUCCAUAAAGUUUGUCUUACGAAACCCAAUAAUGUGCAAUCAUGUAUAGUCAACUACAUUAUGAUAAUUAGACAAUCCAGUAGCAGUGUAAAAGCAAUCAAUACCUGCUUUGCUUAACCGAGUUAAACAGAUCAGCCUUUUGCUUCUGUUCUUUUCUGGCCACUUCAAACUCUGCAGUUAUAUCUCUUUCCUUUUCUUGUAGAGCCUCAUAUUGGUCCAUGGCCUUCAAAUUGGGAGCUGUUCUUUCUAUUUCUGAUAGCUUGGCAUCCAUUUGUUUCUUAAAGUCUAACUCGACUUUCUCCCGCUCAGAAGGCCUCCUAUCUCUCAAUAGAGACUCAUCUAACUCAUCAAAAUCAAAUACUGGGCCCGUUGUGGAGGAGUCAGUCUCCAUUGGAUCUGAGAUGAUAGGAAGGCUUAUUUGCUGAAGUUCACAAUUUUCUACUAUCUCCUGCUUCCGAGAUGUUAGCUGCUCAAUCUGAGUUUCCUGUAAGGCACGAAAAAAAUGUUUAGGGAUUCAAAUUAACAUGGUACAGAAGUGUCGCAAACAAAACCAAAUGCCAACCUUAGAAUUUAUCUGUCGAUUAAGUUUGGAUACAUUUGUUGUAGCAGUAGAACCCCGCUUGUUCCAUUCUUGAAUUUCCUUUUCACACCCUUCCGACUUGGAUUUCCACUCUACAUUAAUAGUGAGAGAUACAACUUUAUGAACUAAAAAGAAAGGAUAAAGUGGGUUUGCGACUCGUUUGAACAACUUGGGAAAAAGACAGAAAAAGAACAACAACCAUGAGAUCAAGUCCCGCGCUCAAGGCCUAAAAUCUGAGAAUUUAAGUUCUCCAAAAAAAAUACAGUACCAUGCCGAACUUUUAUCAUACCUUGUGCAUCUUCCUUCAACUGCUCAAUCUCAGCAGAGGCUUUUUCAGCUGCAGAGUUGGCUUCAAAUUCUUUCUUUUGAACCCAUUCUAAAUCUUUUUGUAGAUUACUAAUAGAUGAUUGGAGUUCUUCAAUUCGUGUAGCCAUGUCCCGAUUUUGCUCAUACUCUAGCCUGAAAGCAAACAAAGACCAGUAUUUUACCAUAAAAUAUGAGCAAGUGCCAAAGCUGUCAUACAACAAGUACACCAGAAACAAUAGUGGUGAAACUGGGCAGAUUGUUUGGGUUUGAUAUUUGAGUACUUCAAUAGAACCUGUGGUCAAUCUAAAAAGUUAAAACAAAAUUUUCAAAGACUUUACAGCCCUACAAAGAACUUGUAACUGGACAGCGUCAAACAUCUCUCAUCUUUAGUGAUCACUGCUUUCUAAAAAAGUCGUGUGAUAAUAGACACGACAGCGUUCUUUAAAGAUGAUCAAGACACAUCAAAAAGAAUAUAUGGUGGGGAGCGAGGAAAACCAACUGACUAAUUGGCCCAAUACUUGUAGUUGGUUGUUUCCUCAGUCAAAGUACUUGUAGUUCAUCAGAAUGUUAAAGCACAAUUUGAAGAUGCAUAAAUGCAUGCACAUUCAUACAAUAGUGUGGGAAUCAAUGAUCAAGUUAUAUAUCACAUAAUUCAUGCAUGUGUCCAACAUAAUAUACACAACUCACAUUCCACUGUAUGCCCAAAAUAAAAUAAUUACCAACAUACAACAGUAAAAUUGACAAAAGAUAAAAUAUAGGGAAGAACAUACUGGUAUUUCAAUUUUGAUAGCUGGCUACUCAAACUAAGCCUCUCUUCAGCCAUAGAUUGGGAAACCUUGAGUUGUUUUUCUUCAUACUCACGAAUGUUAUCUACCCCAACAGAUUUACUAAAGCCUUUGUAGAGUCUGUCAACAAUAUCAUUUAUCCUCUUCUCAAGCUUAUUGAUUUCUGUGCUCCGCUUAUCUACAGCUUGUUUUAGCUGCAAUCAUUUUUAAAACUGCUGUGUGAAACAAAAUGCUAGAAUAAGCUAGAGAAAACAGUAAUCAGGGAAAUACCUUCAGAAGAUCAGGACUGAUACGAUCAAUCUCUUCUUUUAUGUUCUGCCUCUCCCGCGCCAAAUUUGCAAGUUUGUCCUUGAUGCUUUUCUGUGAAAAAACUCAUCUUAGUUUUGAAUCCACUAGAAGGAACCUCAUGUUUAGCUUAAUUAAGAUAUAUCAAAGUAAAAGACUGAAAAACUAUUCACCCACCCUCCCACACCCAAAGCACAAAGGAAAAACUAAAAUAGAAUAAAUAGCAUUCAUCUCCACUUUAUAAUUAAAAGACCAAUACCAACCCUUCCCAUCAAGUCUAAUUCAUCUUAUUUGAUAAACCACACACAAGUGACACAACCAGACAUAAAACAGCUUCAAAGUUCAACCUGCAUCUUCUAGAUUUGGUGUCUGGGUAUGGAUAUAAAACUACCUUACCUGUAGAAUAGGAGUGAAAAAAAAAAGAUACAAGUAAAUCCUUGCAAUUACCUUCUCAAUAUCUGCAUAUUGGAUUUUCUUAUCAAGCCCACUAAGUCUGCCAGCUGUUUCAGACUCUUUUAGCUGCAUCUCUCUAAUUGACCCAAGCUCUUCUAGCUCCAACUCAAACUGUUCUUUCUUCUUCUUCAGUCCUAAACAACAAACAGUUAAACCACAUCAAAAAUUACCAGACCAAAAUUCAAAUGACAAUACAGCAAUUCAAAACUCACCUUCGACUUUUUUAUCAUCCCACUGUUUUGACCUAGCUUCCAUUCCUCCACUGGUACCACCAGUCAUUGUGCCAGAUUUUGACAGCAUAAUUCCAUCAACAGUUACAACUAAUUAAAGGGGGAAAGAGAAAAAAAGUUAGAUGCUGGCUAAAUAAAAACAUGCCUGACACAGAUACUUAACGAUAACAAAGUUGAACGCAUUACCUUUGAACCUCUCACCACUCCAGCUUAGGCGCUUAGCCUCAUCAAGUUCGUCACAAACGAGAGUAUUGCCAACCGCAAAGAGAAUAGCCUUCUCCAAGGCAUGAUCAAAUGUAUGGUUGUUAAGUAGACAAACUAAUAGCACCUCUUCGUAGAUUCUCAUGCAGAAAAUAGUUUUCUUACAAACAGAAAAACAUACAAGGAAUACAGGCAACAUACAUCAAGGACAGUACAUAGCAUAGUGAUCAGGAGGAUGAUCUAAAACAAUAGCUAACCACGAAAUGAUGAAGGUGUGAGCGUGCUUCUAUGCAUUAACAUGUUCCAUCUAAAUAAAUGCAGAGACGAUACUAAUCUGGAUGAUUAUACUCAAACUCUUUGUGGGAGAAAGCCAGAGGAAUGAUGAGUUACAUGAAGAAAACUUGUGCCAUAAAUGGAAGAAAAGAAUGAGAACAGAAAAUCAUCCAAGUUGAAAGGGAAAAGAAUUAAAUAAUUUUUUUUAAAAAAAUCAACAAGAAUAAAACACAUAAUGGGAUCCUAAUGCAAGUCUAUAAUAGAACACAAGUUGUUCAAUUUUUUUAGUUAUUUAAAAGUUCCAUAAUUUCUUCUAGAAAAAUAUAUGUUUUCGAUAACCAGAGUUCCACUACCCAAAAACAAUAAUGCACCAGAAAUUAGCAGCACUAACCGGCCCAGAUCAAAGAUACUCUCUUACUGCAUAUGAUGGAAAACAUGAAAAUGUAAUACAACAUAUAUAUACACACACAAAAAUAUAUGUAGUUAUGUAUAUAGAUCAAUCACACAUAACAUCUCUGCCUAUUUCUAUGCAUACAAAUAAAGAGCUAUACAAUGUGCACUACACACAUCCUUUUCACACAGACAUGCAUGCAUGCAGACAAACACCAACAAGAUUACACAAAAAUGUAAAUCUUCAACUACAGAGUUCGGAACAAACAAAAGUUUGGACACUAAACCAAUGUAGGCUUUUGUAGAAG
Molecule: long non-coding RNA, 37120 nt
Filed under: Fragaria vesca (wild strawberry)
Lineage: Eukaryota; Viridiplantae; Streptophyta; Magnoliopsida; Rosales; Rosaceae
Description: long non-coding RNA (FVES_LNC000569)
Source: RNAcentral